RNAcentral lists this ribosomal RNA (159 nucleotides) under uncultured bacterium. RNAcentral describes it as "partial 16S ribosomal RNA". It matches the Rfam family "Bacterial small subunit ribosomal RNA", at positions 1342 to 1500 of the family's 1533-position model. The record is from RNAcentral.
UCGCAGAUCAGAAUGCUGCGGUGAAUACGUUCCCGGGUCUUGUACACACCGCCCGUCACACCAUGGGAGUCGGGAAUGCCCGAAGUCAGUGACCCAACCGCAAGGAGGGAGCUGCCGAAGGCAGGCUCGAUAACUGGGGUGAAGUCGUAACAAGGUAUC